GACGAACGCUGGCGGCGUGCUUAACACAUGCAAGUCGAACGGAAAGGCCCUGCUUUUGUGGGGUGCUCGAGUGGCGAACGGGUGAGUAACACGUGAGUAACCUGCCCUUGACUUUGGGAUAACUUCAGGAAACUGGGGCUAAUACCGGAUAGGAGCUCCUGCUGCAUGGUGGGGGUUGGAAAGUUUCGGCGGUUGGGGAUGGACUCGCGGCUUAUCAGCUUGUUGGUGGGGUAGUGGCUUACCAAGGCUUUGACGGGUAGCCGGCCUGAGAGGGUGACCGGCCACGUUGGGACUGAGAUACGGGCCAGACUCCUACGGGACGCAGCAGUGGGGAGUAUUGCACAAUGGGCGGAAGCCUGAUGCAGCAACGCCGCGUGCGGGAUGACGGCCUUCGGGUUGUAAACCGCUUUCGCCUGUGACGAAGCGUGAGUGACGGUAAUGGGUAAAGAAGCGCCGGCUAACUACGUG
Molecule: ribosomal RNA, 468 nt
Filed under: uncultured bacterium
Lineage: Bacteria
Description: partial 16S ribosomal RNA
Rfam family: Bacterial small subunit ribosomal RNA
Source: RNAcentral